CAUUAAGAAGCUAAAUAGCACUAACCUUUUUAAGUUAGAGAUUGGAGCUAUAAUCUUCCCUUAAUGA
Molecule: transfer RNA, 67 nt
Filed under: Myotis bombinus
Lineage: Eukaryota; Metazoa; Chordata; Mammalia; Chiroptera; Vespertilionidae
Description: tRNA-Lys
Source: RNAcentral